GUACCAUCACCGUCCCGUCGCUACUACCGAUUGAAUGGUUUAGUGAGGCCUUCUGACUGGCGCCGAUACUCUGGCAACAGAGCGCCGGAUGCCGGAAAGUUGGUCAAACUUGAUCAUUUAGAGGAAGUAAAAGUCGUAACAAGGUUUCCGUAGGUGAACCUGCGGAAGGAUCAUUACCGAUGAUAUUCGUCCAAAACUACACAGUUGUACCUUGUGAACCGUACCAAACUAUUCAGGGGUCGGCUUGUCCGUUAAAUGGUCGUCGGACGCGAGAGAUCGCGGUCCGCUCGACCGGCCCCGCACGCGUUUUGUUUUUUAUAAACAUAUGUGUACCUGUCUGACCAAGCAGUUGCGGCCUGGCCCAAGGGUCGGUCGCUGGCAAUUAGAGCAAAAAACGAGAUACAACUUUUGACGGUGGAUCUCUUGGCUCACGCAUCGAUGAAGUAACGCAGCCAGCUGCGAUAUAGUAGUGUGAAUGGCAAGAAUUCAGUGAAUUCAGUGACAUCAUCGAAUCUUUGAACGCAAAUUGCGCUCUUGGGUUCUCCCAGGGGAGCAUGUCUGUCUGAGUGUCGGAUAUCAUCCAACGCACGCCAGCGUGCGGAAUUGAGGCGUCACGGUCCGUACUGCACGGACCGUGUCCCUUGAAAGUCAGAGAGACUCGCCGCGUCGCGGGAAGAUUCCCCGUGCACACCAGCGGAGGCUAAAAUGUCUUUUGCCCUUCGCGUGCCGGGAAGUCGCCGCGUGCGGCGGUCGUCGUCGGGCGAACUUUAAUUAUCUUGACCUCAGAUCAGGCAAGGCUACCCGCUGAAUUUAAGCAUAUUAAUAAGCGGAGGAAAAGAAACUAACAAGGAUUCCCUCAGUAACGGCGAGUGAAGCGGGACCAGCUCAAAUUUGAAAUCUCCGAUGCCUGCAUCGGCGAGUUGUAGUUGCGAGAAGCACUUUCUAGGUGGAUCGGUCGUGCCUAAGUUGCUUGGAACAGCACGUCGCAGAGGGUGACAACCCCG
This 1004-nucleotide ribosomal RNA is filed under the name Desmophyllum pertusum. Its description in RNAcentral is "eukaryotic LSU rRNA". The stretch from base 778 to 1004 matches the Rfam family "Eukaryotic large subunit ribosomal RNA", at positions 1 to 223 of the family's 3401-position model. Lineage: Eukaryota; Metazoa; Cnidaria; Anthozoa; Scleractinia; Caryophylliidae. The record is from RNAcentral.